UUUCCUAAAAAACCUAACCCCCAAGGUUAUGCCAGAUCCGCCACAAAUACAGAGAUUCUACUGUUCACACGGACAGAGUCUCCUCUAUAUUUGCACGGCGUCGCACAAGUACAAGAUACAAGAUUCACAAUACCAAAUACAACCACACAUAUGAACAUCCACAUACUCAUACACCAUUCACAUUCACAUUUAUUUCAAUUAACAAGUAUCCAUAAAACCACAUCUAUCAGUUUAAAAUGUUUCUUACUCGAAAACUCAUUUUAAAACACUAAGUCAUAAAAACCAAGAAAACUUUUUAAAACCUGUUUCCCACACGGAAACCUUUUCCUUUUUAAAACUCGCUACCACGAGGGAUAGAAAACCAAUUCCAGUUUGCAAGAACCGCACAUCCUUUAUUACAUUCAUAAAAUUCCAAUUC
RNAcentral lists this long non-coding RNA (418 nucleotides) under Ananas comosus (pineapple). RNAcentral's name for it is "long non-coding RNA (ACOM_LNC042639)". Lineage: Eukaryota; Viridiplantae; Streptophyta; Magnoliopsida; Poales; Bromeliaceae. The record is from RNAcentral.